UGGGGAAUAUUGCACAAUGGGGGAAACCCUGAUGCAGCGACGCCGCGUGAGCGAAGAAGUAUUUCGGUAUGUAAAGCUCUAUCAGCAGGGAAGAAAAAUGACGGUACCUGACUAAGAAGCCCCGGCUAACUACGUGCCAGCAGCCGCGGUAAUACGUAGGGGGCAAGCGUUAUCCGGAUUUACUGGGUGUAAAGGGAGCGCAGGCGGCGCGGCAAGUCUGAUGUGAAAGCCCGGGGCUCAACCCCGGGACUGCAUUGGAAACUGUGUAGCUUGAGUGCCGGAGAGGUAAGCGGAAUUCCUAGUGUAGCGGUGAAAUGCGUAGAUAUUAGGAGGAACACCAGUGGCGAAGGCGGCUUACUGGACGGUAACUGACGUUGAGGCUCGAAAGCGUGGGGAGCAAACAGGAUUAGAUACC
RNAcentral lists this ribosomal RNA (415 nucleotides) under uncultured bacterium. RNAcentral describes it as "bacterial SSU rRNA". It matches the Rfam family "Bacterial small subunit ribosomal RNA", at positions 355 to 786 of the family's 1533-position model. The record is from RNAcentral.